UGAUUUUUAUGCCCCACCUACGAUAGUAGAGGGGCAUUAUGUUUUCUGGUCUGUGGCUCCGUUCGUCUGUGCGUCCGUUCAGGUUAAAGUUUUUGGUCAAGGUAGUUUUUGAUGAAGCUGAAGUCCAAUCAACUUGAAACUUAGUACACUUGUUGCUUAUGAUAUGAUCUUUCUAAUUUUAAAGCCAAAUUAGACUUUUGACCCCAAUUUCACGGUCCACUGAACAUAGAAAAUGAAAGUGGGAGUUUCAGGUUUAAGUUUUUUGUCAAGGUACUUUUUGAUGAAGCUGAAGUCCAAUCAACUUGAAAC
Molecule: long non-coding RNA, 309 nt
Filed under: Mytilus galloprovincialis (Mediterranean mussel)
Lineage: Eukaryota; Metazoa; Mollusca; Bivalvia; Mytilida; Mytilidae
Source: RNAcentral